AUUGAACGCUGGCGGCAGGCCUAACACAUGCAAGUCGAGCGGAUGAAGGGAGCUUGCUCCUGGAUUCAGCGGCGGACGGGUGAGUAAUGCCUAGGAAUCUGCCUGGUUGUGGGGGAUAACGUCCGGAAACGGGCGCUAAUACCGCAUACGUCCUGAGGGAGAUAGUGGGUGAUCUUCGGACCUCACGCUAACAGAUGAGCCGAGGUCGGAUUAGCUAGUUGGUGGGGUAAAGGCCUACUAAGGCGACGAUCCGUAACUGGUCUGAGAGGUAGAUCACUCACCCUGGAACUGGGACACGGUCCAGACUCCUACGGGAGGAGGCAGAGGGGAAUAUUGGACAAUGGGCGAAGGCCUGAUCCAGCCCUGCCGGGUGUGUGAAGAAGGUCUUCGGAUUGUAAAGCACUUUAAGUUGGGAGGAAGGGCAGUAAGUUAAUACCUUGCUGUUUUGACGUUACCAACAGAAUAAGCACCGGCUAACUUCGUG
Molecule: ribosomal RNA, 484 nt
Filed under: uncultured bacterium
Lineage: Bacteria
Description: partial 16S ribosomal RNA
Rfam family: Bacterial small subunit ribosomal RNA
Source: RNAcentral